UAUCAACGCUGAGGUGUGAUGACGAGCCACUACGGUGGUGAAGUAGUUGAUGCCAAGCUUCCAGGAAAAGCCUCUAAGCAUCAGGUAACAUUAAAUCGUACCCCAAACCGACACAGGUGGUCAGGUAGAGAAUACUCAGGCGCUUGAGAGAACUCGGGUGAAGGAACUAGGCAAAAUGGUGCCGUAACUUCGGGAGAAGGCACGCUGGCAUUAGGUAAAGAGACUUGCUCUCGGCGCUGAAGCCAGUCGCAGAUACCAGCUGGCUGCAACUGUUUAAUAAAAACACAGCACUGUGCAAACACGAAAGUGGACGUAUACGGUGUGACGCCUGCCCGGUGCUGGAAGGUUAAUUGAUGGGGUCAGCCGCAAGGCGAAGCUCUUGAUCGAAGCCCCAGUAAACGGCGGCCGUAACUAUAACGGUCCUAAGGUAGCGAAAUUCCUUGUCGGGUAAGUUCCGACCUGCACGAAUGGCGUAAUGAUGGCCAGGCUGUCUCCACCCGAGACUCAGUGAAAUUGAACUCGCUGUGAAGAUGCAGUGUACCCGCGGCAAGACGGAAAGACCCCGUGAACCUUUACUAUAGCUUGACACUGAACAUUGAGCCUUGAUGUGUAGGAUAGGUGGGAGGCAUUGAAGUGUGGACGCCAGUCUGCAUGGAGCCAACCUUGAAAUACCACCCUUUAAUGUUUGAUGUUCUAACUCGGCCCCGUAAUCCGGGGUGAGGACAGUGUCUGGUGGGUAGUUUGACUGGGGCGGUCUCCUCCCAAAGAGUAACGGAGGAGCACGAAGGUUAGCUAAUCACGGUCGGACAUCGUGAGGUUAGUGCAAAGGCAUAAGCUAGCUUGACUGCGAGAGUGACGGCUCGAGCAGGUACGAAAGUAGGUCUUAGUGAUCCGGUGGUUCUGAAUGGAAGGGCCAUCGCUCAACGGAUAAAAGGUACUCCGGGGAUAACAGGCUGAUACCGCCCAAGAGUUCAUAUCGACGGCGGUGUUUGGCACCUCGAUGUCGGCUCAUCACAUCCUGGGGCUGAAGUAGGUCCCAAGGGUAUGGCUGUUCGCCAUUUAAAGUGGUACGCGAGCUGGGUUUAGAACGUCGUGAGACAGUUCGGUCCCUAUCUGCCGUGGGCGUUGGAAGAUUGAGAGGGGCUGCUCCUAGUACGAGAGGACCGGAGUGGACGAAUCACUGGUGUUCGGGUUGUCAUGCCAAUGGCAUUGCCCGGUAGCUAAAUUCGGAAGAGAUAACCGCUGAAAGCAUCUAAGCGGGAAACUUGCCUCGAGAUGAGUCUUCCCUGGGGCUUUAAGCCCCCUGAAGGAACGUUAAAGACUAUGACGUUGAUAGGCUGGGUGUGUAAGUGCAGCGAUGCAUUGAGCUAACCAGUACUAAUGAUCCGUGAGGCUUAACCUU
RNAcentral lists this ribosomal RNA (1402 nucleotides) under Yersinia enterocolitica. Its description in RNAcentral is "partial 23S ribosomal RNA". It matches the Rfam family "Bacterial large subunit ribosomal RNA", at positions 1548 to 2925 of the family's 2925-position model. The record is from RNAcentral. Lineage: Bacteria; Pseudomonadati; Pseudomonadota; Gammaproteobacteria; Enterobacterales; Yersiniaceae.